Molecule: ribosomal RNA, 497 nt
Filed under: uncultured bacterium
Lineage: Bacteria
Description: partial 16S ribosomal RNA
Rfam family: Bacterial small subunit ribosomal RNA
Source: RNAcentral
GAUGAACGCUGGCGGCGUGCCUAAUACAUGCAAGUCGAGCGAACGGACGAGAAGCUUGCUUCUCUGACGUUAGCGGCGGACGGGUGAGUAACACGUGGAUAACCUACCUAUAAGACUGGGAUAACUUCGGGAAACCGGAGCUAAUACCGGAUAAUAUAUUGAACCGCAUGGUUCAAUAGUGAAAGACGGUCUUGCUGUCACUUAUAGAUGGAUCCGCGCUGCAUUAGCUAGUUGGUAAGGUAACGGCUUACCAAGGCAACGAUGCAUAGCCGACCUGAGAGGGUGAUCGGCCACACUGGAACUGAGACACGGUCCAGACUCCUACGGGAGGCAGCAGUAGGGAAUCUUCCGCAAAGGGCGAAAGCCUGACGGAGCAACGCCGCGUGAGUGAUGAAGGUCUUCGGAUCGUAAAACUCUGUUAUUAGGGAAGAACAAAUGUGUAAGUAACUGUGCACAUCUUGACGGUACCUAAUCAGAAAGCCACGGCUAACUACGUG